This 316-nucleotide ribosomal RNA is filed under the name uncultured soil bacterium. Its description in RNAcentral is "bacterial SSU rRNA". It matches the Rfam family "Bacterial small subunit ribosomal RNA", at positions 26 to 371 of the family's 1533-position model. The record is from RNAcentral.
AGAACGAACGCUGGCGGCAUGCCUAACACAUGCAAGUCGAACGAGACCUUCGGGUCUAGUGGCGCACGGGUGCGUAACGCGUGGGAACCUGCCUUUAGGUUCGGAAUAACUCUCCGAAAGGGGUGCUAAUACCGGAUAAUGUCUUCGGACCAAAGAUUUAUCGCCUUUAGAUGGGCCCGCGUAAGAUUAGGUAGUUGGUGGGGUAAAGCCUACCAAGCCGACGAUCUUUAGCUGGUCUGAGAGGAUGAUCAGCCACACUGGGACUGAGACACGGCCCAGACUCCUACGGGAGCAGCAGGUGGGGAAUAUUGGACAA